Suricata suricatta (meerkat) is the source of this 104-nucleotide small nuclear RNA. The record is from Ensembl. NCBI's taxonomy places the organism in Eukaryota, Metazoa, Chordata, Mammalia, Carnivora, Herpestidae.
GUGCUCAUUUUGGCAGCACAUAUACUAAAAUCAGAACAAUACAGAGAUUAGCAGAGCCCUUGCGUGAGGAUGACAUACAGGUCAGUGGAGCACUAGAUGAUGAU